GGGGAAUCUUGCACAAUGGGCGAAAGCCUGAUGCAGCCAUGCCGCGUGAAUGAUGAAGGCCUUAGGGUUGUAAAAUUCUUUCGCCAGGGAUGAUAAUGACAGUACCUGGUAAAGAAGCCCCGGCUAACUUCGUGCCAGCAGCCGCGGUAAUACGAAGGGGGCUAGCGUUGUUCGGAAUUACUGGGCGUAAAGCGCACGUAGGCGGACUUUUAAGUCAGAUGUGAAAUCCCGGGGCUCAACCUCGGAACUGCAUUUGAAACUGGAAGUCUAGAGACCAGGAGAGGUUAGCGGAAUACCGAGUGUAGAGGUGAAAUUCGUAGAUAUUCGGUGGAACACCAGUGGCGAAGGCGGCUAACUGGACUGGUACUGACGCUGAGGUGCGAAAGUGUGGGGAGCAAACAGG
This 403-nucleotide ribosomal RNA is filed under the name uncultured bacterium. Its description in RNAcentral is "bacterial SSU rRNA". It matches the Rfam family "Bacterial small subunit ribosomal RNA", at positions 356 to 776 of the family's 1533-position model. The record is from RNAcentral.